This is a long non-coding RNA of Peromyscus californicus insignis, 1603 nucleotides long. RefSeq lists it as uncharacterized. The transcript is spliced from 3 exons. The record is from RefSeq and is a predicted model, not a curated record. Lineage: Eukaryota; Metazoa; Chordata; Mammalia; Rodentia; Cricetidae.
CCGUCUCUUCCCAUCUCCCCACACUUGCUCGCUCUCUCCCUGCCCCAACACUGCUCCGGAAGCGAAGGCCCUCCCCUGCGCUCCUGCUCUCCUGCUCCAGGUGUUACUCUGCUGAGCCAAGAGUGUAUUUUACUCUCUCAAGUAAAGCACACAGCACCGUCUUUCCGGGCCCGCGGCUCCUCUGCUUUUGGACUCUUGGACAGAAGGGCGUUGAGAGGUCCUGGGAGGAGGAAAGGACAUGUUGCUCUUGGCAGAAUAGCAGGAUGUACACAUCCUCCUCUGACCUUCUCGGCAUAGCACUUUCAUGAAGAGUUUGGGUUCUGGACUCCAACUACCAAGGUAGCCCAGUUCUCCCACUUACAAGUUACUGUGGUAGUUUGAAUGAGAGUUGUCCUCCAUAGACUCGACUCGCCUUUUUAAACACUCACCUUUUAAAACCCAGGUUGGUGGUGCUGUUUAAGGAAUGUGUUAGUUACUUUUCUGUAGAUCUGAUAAAAAUACCAUAUCCACGGCAACUUACAGAAGAAAGAAUUUCUUUGGUUUAUGAUUUCAGAGGGUUAGAGCCUGUAAUGGCAGAGCUAGCACCAGGCAUCAGAUGGAAGGCGUGGCAGCCGGAAGAGGAAAUGGGGAGCUCACCUCUUGAACCACAAGCAUAAAGUAGAGGGACCGAGCUAGAAGUGUAGAGCGCACCUCCUGUUACAUACUUCUUCUGGCAAGGCUCCACUACCCAAACCUCCCCAAACGAUGCCAUCAACUGGGGACCAAGUGUUCAAAUGCCCUAGAUUAUAGGGGGUUAAUUCUCACUGGAACCACUUUGGGGAGAUUAUGGGACCUUUAGGAGGCGGAGCCUUGCUGGAGGAAGUACAUGCUUUCUGUUUUCUCUCUGCUUUGUAUUUCUGUUGAAGUUGUGAUCUCUCAGCUUCCUGCCACCAUGCCUGCCACUUACUGCCCUUGCCUCUCUGCCAUGAUGGACCCUUGCCUCUCUGCCAUGAUGGACCCUUGCCUCCCUGCCAUGAUGGACCCUUGCCCAUCAGGAACUAUGAAUCAAAAUAAACACUUUUGUCUAAAGUUUCUUUUGAUCAUGGUAGGACACAGAAAAAUAACUAAUACAGAAGGGUAAGCGAAUUAUUUAAUCUCUCUGGGUUUCCAUUGCUUCUUGUGUAAAAUGGAAAUCUGUAACCGGUGGCUUUUCUCUGUCCCGUCCUGUCCUGCUGCUGCUUGUAAAUAAUCACUCAGAGGCUUAAUAUUAAUUACAAAUUGUUUUGCCUAUUUCUCAGGCUUAUUACUAACUAGCUCUUAUAAAUUAAAUUAACCCAUUUUUAUUAAUCUAUGUUUUGCCAUGUGUCAUGUGGCUUUACCUGUGCUCUAAUACAUCUUGCUCCUCUGGAGGCUAGCUAGUAUCUUCUCCCUGUAUCUCUGUUUGGAUUUCCUGCCUGGCUCUAUCCUGCCUUGCUAUAGGCCAAAGCAGCUUCUUUAUUAACCAAUGGCAAUAAAAUAUAUUCACAGCGUACAGAAAAACAUCCCACAGCAGAAAUCCACCAGCACCUACUUCAUGCUUGUCAGAAAAUCAAAUAAGUUCAUAGCUAUGAAAUCCUGGGGACAA